RNAcentral lists this unclassified non-coding RNA (367 nucleotides) under soil metagenome. RNAcentral's name for it is "partial contains 5.8S ribosomal RNA, internal transcribed spacer 2, and large subunit ribosomal RNA". The stretch from base 1 to 121 matches the Rfam family "5.8S ribosomal RNA", at positions 35 to 154 of the family's 154-position model. The record is from RNAcentral.
GAUGAAGAACGUAGCGAACGUGCGAAACGUAAUGUGAAUUGCAGAAUUCAGUGAAUCAUCGAAUCUUUGAACGCAUCUUGCGCUCCUUGGUAUUCCGAGGAGCAUGCCUGUUUGAGUGUUGUGAAAUACUCUCAAUUUCAAUCUUUUUGUUUGAAAUUGGAUUUGGAUGUUGUUGUGGAUCUUGCUACGACUCAUCCUAAAUGCAUUAGCGAUCUGCCUUGAUCACACACAAUGUGAUAAGAUGAGCAUUGUUAUAAUCAAGUCAUGACUGCUUCUAACCGUCCCUUUGGGACAAACGUCUUAUGUCGUUUGACCUCAAAUCAGGUAGGACCACCCGCUGAACUUAAGCAUAUCAAUAAGCGGAGGA